RNAcentral lists this ribosomal RNA (475 nucleotides) under Clostridioides difficile. RNAcentral's name for it is "bacterial SSU rRNA". It matches the Rfam family "Bacterial small subunit ribosomal RNA", at positions 296 to 789 of the family's 1533-position model. Lineage: Bacteria; Bacillati; Bacillota; Clostridia; Peptostreptococcales; Peptostreptococcaceae. The record is from RNAcentral.
GAGGGUGAUCGGCCACAUUGGAACUGAGACACGGUCCAAACUCCUACGGGAGGCAGCAGUGGGGAAUAUUGCACAAUGGGCGAAAGCCUGAUGCAGCAACGCCGCGUGAGUGAUGAAGGCCUUCGGGUCGUAAAACUCUGUCCUCAAGGAAGAUAAUGACGGUACUUGAGGAGGAAGCCCCGGCUAACUACGUGCCAGCAGCCGCGGUAAUACGUAGGGGGCUAGCGUUAUCCGGAUUUACUGGGCGUAAAGGGUGCGUAGGCGGUCUUUCAAGUCAGGAGUGAAAGGCUACGGCUCAACCGGAGUAAGCUCUUGAAACUGGGAGACUUGAGUGCAGGAGAGGAGAGUGGAAUUCCUAGUGUAGCGGUGAAAUGCGUAGAUAUUAGGAGGAACACCAGUUGCGAAGGCGGCUCUCUGGACUGUAACUGACGCUGAGGCACGAAAGCGUGGGGAGCAAACAGGAUUAGAUACCCUG